This 274-nucleotide ribosomal RNA is filed under the name uncultured bacterium. RNAcentral's name for it is "partial 16S ribosomal RNA". It matches the Rfam family "Bacterial small subunit ribosomal RNA", at positions 523 to 796 of the family's 1533-position model. The record is from RNAcentral.
AUACGGAGGGUCCGAGCGUUAUCCGGAAUCGUUGGGUUUAAAGGGUCCGUAGGCGGGAAUCUAAGUCAGUGGUGAAAUCUUGCAGCUCAACUGUAAAAUUGCCAUUGAUACUGGAUUUCUUGAAUUAGUGUGAAGUGGUUAGAAUGUGUAGUGUAGCGGUGAAAUGCAUAGAUAUUACACAGAAUACCAAUUGCGAAGGCAGAUCACUAACACUAUAUUGACGCUGAGGGACGAAAGCGUGGGGAGCGAACAGGAUUAGAAACCCCAGUAGUCC